CCUACGGGAGGCAGCAGUGGGGAAUAUUGCGCAAUGGGCGAAAGCCUGACGCAGCGACGCCGCGUGAGGGAUGAAGGUCUUCGGAUCGUAAACCUCUGUCAGCAGGGAAGAACGGUCACUGUGCUAAUCAGCAGUGAAUUGACGGUACCUGCAAAGGAAGCGCCGGCUAACUCCGUGCCAGCAGCCGGGGUAAAACGGAGGGUGCGAGCUUUAAUCGGAAUUACUGGGCGUAAAGCGCUCGUAGGCGGUAUGUCAAGUCAAGGGUGAAAUCCUCGGGCUCAACGUGGGAACUGCCUUUGAAACUGGGAAACUUGAGUGUGUGAGAGGAUAGUGGAAUUCCAGGUGUAGGAGUGAAAUCCGUAGAUAUCUGGAGGAACAUCAGUGGCGAAGGCGACUAUCUGGCACAUAACUGACGCUGAGGAGCGAAAGCGUGGGUAGCAAACAGGAUUAGAUACCCUGGUAGUC
This 465-nucleotide ribosomal RNA is filed under the name uncultured bacterium. RNAcentral describes it as "partial 16S ribosomal RNA". It matches the Rfam family "Bacterial small subunit ribosomal RNA", at positions 338 to 795 of the family's 1533-position model. The record is from RNAcentral.